GAUGAACGCUGACAGAAUGCUUAACACAUGCAAGUCAACUUGAACUUCGGUUUGGGUGGCGGACGGGUGAGUAACGCGUAAAGAACUUGCCUCACAGAUAGGGACAACAUUUGGAAACGAAUGCUAAUACCUGAUAUUAUGAUUUUAGGGCAUCCUAGGAUUAUGAAAGCUAUAUGCACUGUGAGAGAGCUUUGCGUCCCAUUAGCUAGUUGGAGAGGUAACGGCUCACCAAGGCGAUGAUGGGUAGCCGGCCUGAGAGGGUGAUCGGCCACAAGGGGACUGAGACACGGCCCUUACUCCUACGGGAGGCAGCAGUGGGGAAUAUUGGACAAUGGACCAAGAGUCUGAUCCAGCAAUUCUGUGUGCACGAUGAAGUUUUUCGGAAUGUAAAGUGCUUUCAGUUGGGAAGAAAAAAAUGACGGUACCAACAGAAGAAGUGACGGCUAAAUACGUG
RNAcentral lists this ribosomal RNA (454 nucleotides) under uncultured bacterium. Its description in RNAcentral is "partial 16S ribosomal RNA". It matches the Rfam family "Bacterial small subunit ribosomal RNA", at positions 28 to 507 of the family's 1533-position model. The record is from RNAcentral.